Molecule: transfer RNA, 74 nt
Filed under: Rhipicephalus microplus (southern cattle tick)
Lineage: Eukaryota; Metazoa; Arthropoda; Arachnida; Ixodida; Ixodidae
Description: tRNA-Val
Rfam family: tRNA (bases 8-68)
About the family: Transfer RNA (tRNA) molecules are approximately 80 nucleotides in length.
Source: RNAcentral
GUGCUUCGUGGUGUAGUGGUUAUCACAUCCGCCUAACACUGCGGAAGGCCCCAGGUUCGAUCCCUGGCAGGACA